CCUGGCUGGCUGAAAGUUCCUCCAGGUUUUAAUUAAUGCAGAGAGCCCCACUGUCCAGGAAAACUUUAGGUAGAAUAAGUGACUUUCUAGACUUCCUCACCUCAUAAAGGGCCAGAUUUGAGACUUGCUAGGGAAGGGACAGAGCCCAGCCAAGCCGGCUGUCUUCAGGGCAGAAAUCUGAACCACCUCCUAGAGUCCCCUUGGGAAGCUUUAAAAAUGCAUAUUCCUGGGCUGCCCCCAAAUCCGCUCAUUCAGAACCUAUUUGGGACCCAGCAAUGUGUAUUUAACGAUCUCUCUGAUACCAAGUGUGAGUCCAUGCACAACUCUGCAGGGGUAGAGGAGGGGUGUGCUAGGGAUGUAGCUGCAGUCCUGGAUCCUGGGACCCAAGAGAGAAGACUAAAAACACACCAAGAUGCCAAUCCUGAUGGCACAGGGUAGCUCCUGCAGACGCCUCUCUUGAGUUUGCCAGUGGGAGCCUAGUACGGGUCAUGUGGUGUCACCAACACCAUUGGAACUAGAGGCUGCACUGCCAGAAGCAGAUCUGGAUGACAUGGUGCCGAAGGGACACCCGAGCCAGCUAUGGGUCAGACCCAAUCAGAGGUUUCUGGAUUUGAAAACAGCUGAAAAAAAAAUAAAAUUGUUCAAAGACUGAAUAGAAAACCAGAUAAAGACCAGGGUACUCUUGCUGGGGUAGGGGUGAGGGUCUCACUAGCGCAGCUCCUUCUCUUCUUCCCUGCCAUCUUGGAACCCUAAGAUUCCUUGACACACAUGAUGGGAAUCUAGCCCAGGUGCUCACAGAAGUCCUGCUCACAGGAACCUUAAAAUUCUAAUAGGUUCCAGGAAUAAAAGUCCAUCGGGCCCUCCUCGUCCCCUUGGGUGAGGAGUUGAUGGAGGGACUCUGCUACCUCAAAAGUGGUCCAGGCUUCUAGAGGUAGGAAAUUCCCUCAGAGAAGCCCACGAUCAUGUGUUUUUGCUGAAAGGUGUCAUAACAGCAAAAUGAUGACAACAACCUAAAUGUCCAUCAAUAGGGGAUCAGCUAAAUGACCUCGUGUAUAUCUACAUGUUGGAAAAUGAUGAUGCAAUAAAAAAUAAUUCAUUUCUAAAUCCUGCCAAAGAAAUUUCUAUAAUAUGGAAUUAUACAGUGUUACCGUUUGUGGGGUAUAAAUAUAAAUAUCCUCAUCGUUAUGGUUUGAAUGUGAGGUGUCCCCCAAAAGCUUCUGUGUGAGACAAUGCAAGGAGAUUCAGAGGUGAAAUUAUUGGGUUAUGAGAGUCUUAACCCAAUCAGUGAACUAAUCCCCUGAUGGGAUUAACUGAGUGGUAAUUGAGAGCAGUUAGGGUGUGGCUGGAGGAGGUAGGCAUUAGGGGUGUGCCUUUGGGAUAUAUAUUUUAAUCUGGCAAGUGGAGAUACUUUCUGCUUCCUUGGCAUGUCCUGAGCCUCUUUCCUUUACACACUUUUCCGCCAUGAUGUUCUGCCUCACCUUGAGUCCCAAGGAAUGGAGCCGGUUGUCUGUAGACUUAGACCUCUGAAACCGUGAGCCCCCAAAUAAACUUUUC
This 1554-nucleotide long non-coding RNA is filed under the name Marmota monax (woodchuck). Lineage: Eukaryota; Metazoa; Chordata; Mammalia; Rodentia; Sciuridae. The record is from RNAcentral.